This 491-nucleotide ribosomal RNA is filed under the name uncultured bacterium. RNAcentral's name for it is "partial 16S ribosomal RNA". It matches the Rfam family "Bacterial small subunit ribosomal RNA", at positions 29 to 507 of the family's 1533-position model. The record is from RNAcentral.
GUGAACGCUGGCGGUAGGCCUAACACAUGCAAGUCGAACGGCAGCACAGUAAGAGCUUGCUCUUACGGGUGGCGAGUGGCGGACGGGUGAGGAAUACAUCGGAAUCUACUUUUUCGUGGGGGAUAACGUAGGGAAACUUACGCUAAUACCGCAUACGACCUACGGGUGAAAGCAGGGGAUCUUCGGACCUUGCGCGAUGGCAUGAGCCGAUGUCGGAUUAGCUAGUUGGCGGGGUAAAGGCCCACCAAGGCGACGAUCCGUAGCUGGUCUGAGAGGAUGAUCAGCCACACUGGAACUGAGACACGGUCCAGACUCCUACGGGAGGCAGCAGUGGGGAAUAUUGGACAAUGGGCGCAAGCCUGAUCCAGCCAUACCGCGUGGGUGAAGAAGGCCUUCGGGUUGUAAAGCCCUUUUGUUGGGAAAGAAAAGCAGCAGGUUAAUACCCCGCUGUUCUGACGGUACCCAAAGAAUAAGCACCGGCUAACUUCGUG